GUGAAGCCAGAGAGGUUGGAUCAAAGUACCAAGUGGGCCAUUUUUGGUAAUGUGGGAUGAACCAAACGCAGAGUUAAGGCGCCUAAAUCGACGCUCAUGAGACACCAUGAAAGGCGUUGGUUGCUUAAGACAGCAGGAGGGUGGUCCUGGAAGUCGAAAUCCCCUAAGGAGUGUGUAACAACUCACCUGCCGAAGCAACUAGCCCUGAAAAUGGAUGGCGCUGUAGCGUCGUGCCUAUACUCUGCCGUCAACGGCAAAUAGUUGGCAAAAAAAAAAAUAUUUAUAUUUUUUUUACUGAGCUAUUAAGCUUUGACGAGUAGGAGGGUCGCGGCGAUGAGCGCARAAGGGCUUAGGCGUAAGCCUGCCUGGAGCCGUCGCCGGUGCAGAUCUUGGUGGUAGUAGCAAAUACUCCAGCGAGGUCCUGGAGGACUGUUGUGGAGAAGGGUUUCUUGUGAACAGCUGUUGCACAAGAGUCAGUCGAUCCUAAGCUCUAGGAGAAAUCCUAAGUUUAAAUAGGUACCAUUACAAACAAAUAAAUAAAUGACUGACGGUACCUGUUGAGCGAAAGGGAAUCCGGUUCCUAUUCCGGAACCUGGCAGCGGAACCGUUCCAAAUCGAGCCCUCGUAUGAGAACUCGUCGGGGUGACCCAAAAAGACCCGGAGACGCCGUUGGAAGAUUCGGGGAGAGUUGUCUCUUCUCUAUAAGCGUUCGAGUUCCCUGGAAUCCUCUAGCAGGGAGAUAGGGUUUGGAACGCGAAGAGCACCGCAGUUACGGCGGUGUCCGAAUUUUUCCUUCGGACCUUGAAAAUCCGGGAGAGGGCAACGAGGAACACCGCGCCAGAUCGUACCCAUAUCCGCA
Molecule: ribosomal RNA, 859 nt
Filed under: Rectilamina sp. UCR ENT 00084928
Lineage: Eukaryota; Metazoa; Arthropoda; Insecta; Hemiptera; Schizopteridae
Description: partial large subunit ribosomal RNA
Source: RNAcentral